RNAcentral lists this transfer RNA (64 nucleotides) under Ictidomys tridecemlineatus (thirteen-lined ground squirrel). RNAcentral describes it as "Spermophilus tridecemlineatus (thirteen-lined ground squirrel) tRNA". It matches the Rfam family "tRNA". From Rfam's summary of the family: Transfer RNA (tRNA) molecules are approximately 80 nucleotides in length. Their secondary structure includes four short double-helical elements and three loops (D, anti-codon, and T loops). Lineage: Eukaryota; Metazoa; Chordata; Mammalia; Rodentia; Sciuridae. The record is from Rfam by way of RNAcentral.
GGGAAUGUGGCUCAGUGGCAGAGCACUUGCCAGGAAGCCCUGAGUUCAAUCCCCAGCACCACCA